RNAcentral lists this ribosomal RNA (433 nucleotides) under uncultured bacterium. RNAcentral describes it as "partial 16S ribosomal RNA". It matches the Rfam family "Bacterial small subunit ribosomal RNA", at positions 29 to 507 of the family's 1533-position model. The record is from RNAcentral.
AACGAACGCUGGCGGCAUGCCUAACACAUGCAAGUCGAACGAGACCUUCGGGUCUAGUGGCGCACGGGUGCGUAACGCGUGGGAACCUGCCCUUAGGUUCGGAAUAACUCCCCGAAAGGGGUGCUAAUACCGGAUAAUGUCUUCGGACCAAAGAUUUAUCGCCUUUGGAUGGGCCCGCGUUGGAUUAGCUAGUUGGUAGGGUAAAAGCCUACCAAGGCGACGAUCCAUAGCUGGUCUGAGAGGAUGAGCAGCCACACUGGUACUGAGACACGGCCCAGACUCUUACGGGAGGCAGCAGUGGGGAAUAUUGGACAAUGGGCGAAAGGCUGAUCCAGCAAUGCCGCGUGAGUGAUGAAGGCCGUAGGGUUGUAAAGCUCUUUUACCCGGGAUGAUAAUGACAGUACCGGGAGAAUAAGCACCGGCUAACUCCGUG